This 460-nucleotide ribosomal RNA is filed under the name uncultured bacterium. RNAcentral's name for it is "partial 16S ribosomal RNA". It matches the Rfam family "Bacterial small subunit ribosomal RNA", at positions 338 to 795 of the family's 1533-position model. The record is from RNAcentral.
CCUACGGGUGGCAGCAGUGAGGAAUAUUGGUCAAUGGACGCGAGUCUGAACCAGCCCAGUAGCGUGAAGGAUGACUGCCCUCUGGGUUGUAAACUUCUUUUAUAUGGGAAUAAAAUGUUCCACGUGUGGGAUUUUGUAUGUACCAUAUGAAUAAUGAUCGGCUAACUCCGUGCCAGCAGCCGCGGUAAUACGGCGGAUCCGAGCGUUAUCCGGAUUUAUUGGGUUGAAAGGGAGCGUAGGUGGGUUGUUAAGUCAGUUGUGAAAGUUUGCGGCUCAACCGUAAAAUUGCAGUUGAAACUGGCAGUCUUGAGUACAGUCGAGGUGGGCGGAAUUCGUGGUGUAGCGGUGAAAUGCUUAGAUAUCAUGAAGAACUCCGAUUGCGAAGGCAGUUCACUGGACUGCAACUGACACUGAGGCUCGAAAGUGUGGGUAUCAAACAGGAUUAGAUACCCGGGUAGUC